Long non-coding RNA from Wyeomyia smithii (pitcher-plant mosquito), 1338 nucleotides. RefSeq lists it as uncharacterized. The record is from RefSeq and is a predicted model, not a curated record. Lineage: Eukaryota; Metazoa; Arthropoda; Insecta; Diptera; Culicidae. The transcript has 3 exons.
AGGAAGAGAACAUGUAAACGUCACUUGGACCCGACCGGGAUAGAAAGAAGAAUUCGACCCAUAUUGGAGAGGGAAACAGAAGUUAAAGAAAAUCAUAGUGUGAGCUGGAGAAUAAAUUUAGAAAAUUAAGAUCAAAAGUAAAGAGAAGGUGAAGAUAUAAGUUCAAGUAGGAAAGAAUAGUGAGCAGAGAUAAUAAGGAAUUAUCAAAGUCUAAAGGUCGCGCAUGGCUACGCACCAGACUAGGAGGAAUUUAAGAGAACACCUAAAUUCUUUGAUCUGCUAACAAGCUGAUACAAAGAGUGUUCUCUCGUGACAAAACCAACAAAAUCAAAGAAUUUAGAGGAUCGAACAUAACCUCAAAGAAUGGAGGAAGAUUUAUCGCAUAGAAAAUGCAUGCUAUGUCAAGAACCGGAUCAUCUUGAUGACAUGGUGCAGUGCGAUACAUGCCAGUUGUGGGCACACUAUUGUUGCGCCGGGGUGCCAUCUAAUAUUAAACACGAAGAUUGGAAUUGUGUUAAGUGUUCCAACCAGUUGCGCUUACCGAAAAAUGCUACGAAGUCCACGAAAAAAUCCGGUGGAUCUAAAAAGGGGAGCCAAAAGUGAAGUGGGAUCUAUCCGUUGCUCAGUAUCGGUGCUCGAAUCAUCAUUUUAACAGUUGGAGGAAGAGCAAGACGCAAUGGAGAAAGGUUUAGAAGCGGAUCGCUUGAUUCGAGAGAAACGUUUGGAAAUGAGCCGUGCAAUUAAAGAGAAACGAAUGCGACAAGAGAAAGAGUUUCGUGAAAGGGAGCUUCAGCAGGAGCGUGAGCUCAGGGCAAAAAAAUUAGCACAAGAGCAAGAAAUUUUAGAAAAACGUCUGAAGGAGGAAUCUGAGUUUUUGAAAAAACAGCAAGCUUUACGUGAGAUGUUUCAUGCGAAGAUGGAUUUACUUAAAAACACCGCGAAUGAAAACACGUCUGGUCGAAAUGAGGAUACGGGCAAUGAUGCCGAUCCAUCGAAAGGAAAAGUUCAAAAUUGGUUGAAUUCAAACGAUCUACAAGGGACGAGUUUACGAUCGUUAGUAGGGGAACAUAGUAAAGCGAAUGAAAAACAAAAGGAAAAAAAAACAGGGAGCUGCUGCAAGAGACAACGUCACGGAAAUUUAGCACAGAAAACGAUGCAGUCACAAGUGAAGAUGGGGAUAGCGAGGACGGUGAUGCUUUUAAUGAACAGAUGAAAGGGAUUGCAGAGCUACUAAAACGUCACGGACCGGGGAGAGGUCAUGGUUUGGGGCGAGGCCACGUGGGACCUACGAAAGAACAAUUGGCUGCCCGGCAGGCAGUAUCAAAAAAUUUACCGAUA